Non-coding RNA from Hydra vulgaris (swiftwater hydra), 1332 nucleotides. The record is from RefSeq and is a predicted model, not a curated record. NCBI's taxonomy places the organism in Eukaryota, Metazoa, Cnidaria, Hydrozoa, Anthoathecata, Hydridae.
AUAGUAUUUGUGGAUGGUCCUUUAAGACUCGCCACAUUUACCAUUAAAAAAUGUAAAGAUUAUAUGAAUGAUUAGAUUGAUUAGAUUAACUCUGGUUAGUUGUUUUAUGUAUAUUUUUAGAAAUAUAUAUUUUUUCUAUAGUAUAUUUUUUUGUUUGUUUUUUUUUUUGAAGUAGUUUUCUAACAUUUUUUUACUAUUUUGAUUUUGUUAGUAACAUGACUAAACAAGAAUAAAAUUGCCAAUGGCAAAAGUUUAUUCAGACUUUUUUUCAAUUAACGACAGUAAGACCUGAUAAAUUUAGAAGUCAACAGAUUUCAGAAAAGUCUUUGUCCUAUGAUAUGAUGAUCUAAUGAUUGUGAUGAUGAUAUGGUAUACAUAAUAAUGAUGAGCAUAUGUAAUUUAGAUGGUGAUCAUCAUAUCAUGAUGUUGAUUCAUUUUCAGUAUUUUAUAGAAAUGUAUAUUAUCGCAAAAUUGUAUAUUUAAGUUCAGAAACUAACACUCCACAGUUACUGAAAAAAAAAAAAGUUGUAAAUAAUAAAAAAGACACUUGCUCCAGCCCGUGCUAUUCCUCCUUUGACAUUUUUAUGUAUUGAAAAUUUGACUUUUUCAGAUCAUUUAAAAAUAAAUAACUUUUUUAAACAAGGCUCUUUUUCUGAAGUUUUAGAAGAGGAUGUAUUUUUAAACUUUUUUCGUUUGAAUAUUCUUUUUUCUUUUUGUAACUAAAUUCCAAAAUGUUCUGAAACAAUCUUUUAAUUAGUUUAUGUAAAUAGGAUACAAAUAUGCAUGAAAAUUUAUUAAGUUAAAUUGAUAGACAUACUUUUUUCGAAAGCAAUUAGUUAGACAACUUAUGGGAUGGAGACCCGUCUACUUCUAUGGUAUUGUAUUUUAUUGACUAGAAAGUUUUUUUUUAAUGAAGAAUUUAUUUAAAAAAGUGCUUUUUAAGGUGACAAUUUCUUAAUUUUUUUAUAGCUCUUUUGUUCUAAAAAAUGUGCUUUGAAGAAAAAUGAAAAUAUUUUAUUUUUGCCUAUUGAGAUGAUAUCAACUUAGUUUUGUGCUGAUCAGUUGCUGGAUGAAUUAAAGCUCUCAUAGCUCCAUAAAUCAGUAUUGCAUCAUCAGUUGCAUCUAAUGCUAAAAUUGAAGCACAUAAUGCUGUGAAAAUAAAAGCUUUAACCUCAGGAGCAUCAGGAGAAGAAUUUAAACAUUAACUAAAAAAAUAUUUUUUGCUUUUUGGGGAUCGAAAUGACGGACGAAAAACUCGAGAGGCACGUUCUUUGUAUAAAAAGUUAUUUACAUAAAUAACAAUUUUAACUUUUAAUAACAUUUUUUAAUUUU